UGGAGUAGCCCAUGGCAGUCCUAGGUGAAGACCAUGUGGGGUAGCCCAUGACAUUGGAUGUAAGGCUAUGUGGGGGAGCCCAUGACAGUCCUAGGUGAAGACUAUGUGGGGUAGCCCAUGGCAUUCUCACAGGUUUCAUGUAUGCAUGGCUUAUGCAAUAUGUGUGUAGCUUUUAUAGCUACAACAUAUGUGAUAUGUGGAUUAUAAGUUUGGUAUCAAUCUAAGGUACACUCUUGACAAUGAAAAUCUUUAACUGAAAUAUGAUAGUUGCCACCAUUAUCGAUAUCAAGAUUACACAUUGUUUGAAGAAUUUGACCUAGGGGUAGGUCUACCACAUACCAACAGAGGAACAAUUUGACAACAUAAAGAAGUAGCAAAUCGGUACAUGCAAGGAAAGAAUGUCUACAGAGAAAGGAGCUACUUGGAACAUAAAUAGGGAAGCUAUUCUUUAGACCAAAAGGAAAGAAAAGUAGAAUAUUUCCUACUGGUGACAGGCACUUCUCGGGCGGAACCUUAGGUUAGUCAACUGGCGUUCCAUUUCAAGCAAGCGACUCUCGUAUACUGAUUGGCGUGCUCGGAGCUCCACAACUUCAGCUCGAGUUGCAGCUAGUUCUCGCUGAUGGGCUUCGUUGUCUCUCAAAAUCCUCCCAUAAGCAACCUCGAGACUGCGAAUAUGGUUUGUGUUGACAUCCGAGUCUGCCUCGAGUUCCACAGUUCGUUGAAUGGCCUACACGUUCAUCUUGACAUUGCGGGCCACUCGGCGGACUAUGAUCGGAAGGGCUCUAUCUGCGGAGCCUCCUCCGUCCACAUUGUAGAAGUGGUGAUCCCCAUUAUACGGGCGGGGUUGGCCUUGUUCGUGACUCCACCUAUCCAGGCUUCCCACCCACAUGGGCGUUGGGCCUUCAAGUACAAGCUGAGGGUUGGGAUUUGGUAUUGGGGCCACUAGGGGUAAGUUCACGACUUCUGGUUCCGAGUCAGUCUCUUCAGGAAAUGGUUCGGCAAUGCCAUCAUCAAAAGGGAUUUCAUGGUUUCCUUCUGGCUCUGGUUCGAUCCAUCCAUCCUCUCCUUGGUUAGGAAAGUACGGGUCGCCAGGAAGAUGGAAUCCAGCCAUUCUAUCUACGCGAGACGAGGGUAAAGGGAUAAUUAAUAGGCAUCGAAUCUAUAACACUUCUAAUGUAUUAUAGUUACAUGAUUGAUUCUCCUGGGUAACACUCCGGUUCGAUCGUUAUAGCACCCUAAAAUUCUCGUACAGUAUUUUAAUCCUUAUGUUCGGUUCUAGAACUCUUUUGGUAUCUAAGUAAGUUUUAGGCUUGUUGCAAAGCCAUUGUUACUCCCAAGCACAUGUUGGUCAUGUCUCGAAUGAAUAUCAUUGAUCAGACUAUAUUGACCCUAGACAUGAUUACAUGACUGCCCAGGUUUAACCGCAGUGUCCAACAUCCAAAUACUUUUGUUUCGUUUUACUCACGACACGGAUUCUGAUACUCGGGUAUACUUAUAUACUUUUAUAAAAAUACUUGUAUUUUCAAAAGUAUACUUUUUAGUUUACAGCACUCAGGCCCCUUAAUAUUUAUAGUUGUAUACCAUGUAAGGUUCGGUAUACUUAGUUCGCUAUAAACAAGGGCUCUGAUACCAAUCUGUCACACCCCGAAACCGAUGGCGGAAACGUUCUGGGGCGGAGGUGACGUCAUGCAUAGCAUCACAACCAAUGAAUAACAACGAGCAUAGUAAACACAACCAGACAUUGAAUACAUAUGUGAAAAAGGUUUACAUUGUUUAAUACAUAGUUUUGUUCUUAUCAAAGGUAAAAUAGAAAUUCACGACACUAACGCUUCGACUUCUCCGAACUCCUGGAAGUACCUGUCUACUAAUUUCCUGAGAAUACAAGCAGUUUGAAAGUCAGCAUAAAGCUGGUGAGUUCAUAAGCAUUUAGUUUUGGUGGAAAAGUGUUCUUUGAAUCCUUUUUGAAAAGUGUUCCUCAAGAAAAUCCUAUAUUUUCUUAUGAAAAGCACGUUUCAAAACCCAUUCAUUCCAUGACUUCCAGGUUCGUAUAGAACGUGUACAAUCCAAUGUGUCGUGGAAUGAAUAUGAAUAUCCGUUGGUUGAAAAACAAUCCGUUUUGAAUAGCCAAUUUAUCCCGGGAAAAUCCUAUAUUUUCCCUAAAGGUGGUUGGUUGAUUAUCUGUUUUAAACUGAGGUUUGCAAGUAUCUACCAUACUCGUGUAUAUAGAUAUAAGCAGUUUUCUUUUAAAGACCCUGGUUACACCCAGAUAUAUAUUAGUCUUAAAAGCUAAAUAAAAGAAAUCGUGAUGAACUAAGUCCUGAAGGUAUUAUUAAUACCCUCCAGUAAUCUAACGGUUGUUACUUUGAGGUUAGUUCAUUUGAUUCAUUAUUAUAAAGUAAAUUCUUGUUAUCUAGGUUGUGAUUUUCGUAACCAUAAAUGACUGGACAUGGUCCGCAACGACCGAUAUCCUUAAUGACUCUGUCACCCGCAAACAUGCCGGUCCAACUGUAGCUAGCAGUGAGGUGCGGGAUUGUCAGUCCCGUAUAGAUCUAUACACAACAGUCACGCUCUCCCUAUAAGAGGUUCUGGUCACGAGUGCUAGUCCUCCACUCUGUUUAUUGUGGUGAGUGUUACCAAGGACGUGUCUCAAACAUAGCCUAACAAAUUUACAAGUAAUAACACCGAAAAAUCUUGUUUAUGAUUUGCAUGAAUCCUUUAUAAAAUAAUACGUUUUACUAGAUGAUUCACAAGUUCAUUGUUCUAGUUUUGAAAACUAUUUCUACGAGUUGAUUUCUUUAUCAUUUGGUAAAACUAUUUUCCGUGUCAAAAGCAUGUUGAAAUAUGAUUAUCUUAAACAGAAUAAUAUAUUUUGAGCACAAGUUUACAUGUACUUUUGCUUAUAUCCCCCCCCCCCGGUAAAACAUAAAAAUAACUCGGAAAAACGUAGGGGUAUGAACUCACAGUUGUUGCGUGGAGUUGUUGACUGAAAUGAAGAUUCUCGAGUUGUUGCGCGUGACACUUAACGAAAUCCUAUUAUCAAAUAAAUACGUAUAUGUAUCUAAAUUAGCGAUUUCGAUAAAUAAAGUGUCGUAAACACUUGAAUUUAGUUGAGGAAUGUUACUGAGACUUGCUUGAAUCAAAGGAAUGAGUUAACAGCCUUAAAACACGAAUUUACGAAUUCUGAAGGUGAGUUUAAGGCCUUAGAACACGAGUUUACGGUUUCUGCAGUUUGCCGAGUUUACGGCCGUAAACUCAAGAACAGAGUUUACGGUCUUCGAAGGGUGGCCCGUAAACUCGGAGAAUGGUGUUUGGAUGUUGAUUUCGACGCGAUGAGUGUUUCCAGACAUUCCAAAAGACUCCAAACGUGGUUUUCUCGAUGCUCUCCGAAGUUUGAAGGUGUUUUGAGUGUUUACAGUCGAGGUCUAGAGAGAGAGAGAGAGAGAGUUUUUGGCCAGAAAUGUUCUAAUGAAGGUGGAUGCAUCGUAUUUAUAGGGGUGAGGUGAGGGGUCCACUUUCUACUGACCGUAAACAGGUUUACGGUCGUAAAUGUAAGUCCCCAAAAUUAAGGAUCCAAUUUAGUAAUCAAUGAAGUUAAUUGCUAUUAGAUUUGUAUUUAGAUUUUGAUUUAGAAGAAGAAGAAAUUGAAUCAAGCAUGCACACAUUUAUAUCAUAUAAAUGUCAGGUACAUCUUGGGAAAAACACACACAUACGUCACUGACUUCUAGCCAAAAAAAUACAGACUGACACACCUCAAUUGCUAUUUAUAGUACUCCUCCUACCAGCACAAGAGUGUGCAGCCAAGCACAUGUGUGCGGCCGCACACACACAUGUGUGGCAGCACACAUUACAUGACUAUAAACAAAAUACUACAAAAGACAUAAUUAACUAUACAAAAUGAUGCCUAGCUCAAACCACAAAUUAUGUUCUUUCAGUCUCCCCCUUGGUUUGAGACUAGCAUAGUCUUGUCAUCAUUCCUUUGGCUCCUCAGCAGGCUUCUCAAACAGCCUCAGAUCUGAUCUCCCCAUUGAAUCCAUCCACAACCUUCCAUUUAUGAUUGUAGCAACCAUUGCAGUGUAUUCUUUGGCGGCAACUUCCAUUACUUUUUUUCUGCAGAUUAUCUGGUGACGAGCCAGAGUCCGUAUGUCCCUUUCUCGAAAGCGACGAAGAUCUUUUGCAUUUAUCAGCCUCAAAACACGUUCUUGAUCCUUGAAUUUUAUGGCCGCAUUUGCAGUUUCGUCAUCGUAUGCCCAAAAUUCCAUAUUAUCAAGAUAUCCUUCCUGGAAAUGCUGAGGGAUUGGAAUUUCUUUUUGCUUCUUUGUAGCGGGCCAUAAGAUAAUCUUCAUAGGUUCACCUGUUUCUGGGUCGAUAACAUCCUUAUCCUUUCGAUAAAUAGCUUUAGCAGUCUUCAUGCUGGGAAAAUUUUCUUUGACCUGCCUAUCAAGGAACCUCUUAAAGUUUGAUGCACUUGGAUCUUUAGAGGGAUUGUGAAAGGGAACUCUAGAUAAUUCUGCUAGAUCAGUCUUAGUCCAAGAAUUGAAAUCAUGGGUGCUUUUGUAACAUUCAGAAAUUCCUGAAUUUCGCUUCACCACCCACAAAUUCGUUUCUGGAUCGAAAGCCCACAUACGGAUACCAGAUCUGUCACCAUACUUAUCGCCAAACUUUCUCUUUUUCAAAUCUGUUACAGUCAGGGCAGGUUCUUUUGCUUUGCGAUUUUCAUUUGUAUUUUUCAUAAACAGAAGUCCCUCGCGUUGGUUUGCAGUCACAACUCUUUUGCCCUGUUUAAUUGUGAUUCUAGCUCUGCUUCCUUCUGGUUCUUUUUCAAAUCUGUCUACAAUGGUAGUUGUUCUUGGAGCAGGUGGGUCAACAGGAAGAUCAUUAGAUACAUGAGGUGAUUGAGCUGAAGGAGGAUCAUCUACUCCAUGAGGCUGUUGGAAGAGGGCUUUAACUUUUUCACCAAAAGCAUCAUACAAUACGUUCUUGAGAUUAAGAUAACUGGCUAGAACGGAUCCAAGACUUGUUUGUAAAUCUUUGAUUUGUUUGGUCUUUUCUUCAUCCUUUGCCCUGAGCUCAAAGACAUAUGCAGAAAGUUGAUCCAUUUGAAUUGAUUUUUCAAUGAGCUGUUGGCGGAGAAAUCCAACUUCCCCUCGAAGAUCAGAUGAAGAGAAUUUGUCAUCAUCUGUCCGAUCCUCGUUAAAUGAUAUUCCUUUCCCACGUGAAGAGGUUGGACUUGAUUGAGCUAAAUGUCUUACUAGUCUGAUAGAAGCUUCAUCUAGAGAAGGUCGAGUUGGAGAAUAUUCUGGAACAUAAGAGGAUCCACCAGUCUCGAACAUUGUGCUUGGACCUUCAUUAGACUGCAUUGGAGGAGAGUGAGCCAAGGUUGCAGUGAUUGUUGAGGUAAUUUGAGGAGCACCUUUUACAGCGGGAAUCUCCAGACUUUCAAGAGAUUGGCUUGUUCUUAAGGAAGUCUGAGAAGUCUGAGGUUCAGAUAAGACGGAAAUGAUUGGAGCUGAUGUUGAGACAAGUGACACAGAGGGAGGAAUCUCUGAUGUCACAUCCCCUUGGCUUGUUGUGACCUCCAAAGGCUUUGAGGUGGAGAGUAGAAUUUUGAGAGAAUCUUCUUCAGCUCUAGUCUUGGUUGCUAGAGAAACAACUUCAUUGACUUUAUUUGCACUGUUGCUGGUGAUACCAAGAAAAGGAUCAAAGUCUUCAUCAUUGAGAUCAAACUGUAUGUUAGUUGGAACGUCAUCGUUGAUUCUAGUAAAGUCGAAUUCAUUCAAAAACUGUACGCCAUCAUAAAUAUCAUCGUCAUCAUCACCUCGAGAAGACCUUGAAUCAUUUGUUUUCUGAUAAUCAUGUUCAUCAGCUACACAUGCUCUGGGAGAGUGAUGAAUCUCCUCCACUUCAGGCUCUGAGGGAGAGUGAUGAAUAUCUUCAUUUUCCAUUGGCAUUGAUUGUUCUUCCGAUUCGUCUCUAUCAUCUUCUUUAAAGAUUCCAAAUUUUAUCAAUGGGAAUUUUCCUUCAAAAACAAUUUUCCCACCUCUCUUCUGUUUCAUUAGCCCAAAAGCUCUUGGACCAAUGGAUUUAAAAUCUAAGACAUCAUUUCCUCUCUGCAGCUCGGCGUGAUUCAAGUUGAGGAUGAUUUGCAGAAAUCUUGGAUACAUCCAGAAUUUAUCUCUUUUGUUCCCUUCAAGAUUCAGGAUCAUUUCAUUCAGAAUAAAUUUUGAGAAGUUAAACUUAAAACCUGCAGCCAAUGCUGCAAUGGCACCAGUGUUAGCAAGAGAGAUAUCAUUAGCUCUAGAUCUCCUUCCGGAAAUACAGCUCACGAACACAUGAGCCAAAUACUUCCAACACGGAGGAAGCAACUUCUUGAUUGUAGGGGGAAAUGUUCCCUCAUAACCCAUAUGCUCCAAGACAUCCUGAGUCUGAUGAAUAUCGAUCUCCAUGGUAUACUCAGGUUUGUCUGAUAUUUGAAGGGAUUCUCUUAUGAUGCUCUCCGUUACUUGAAUUUUCUUUUCUUCAAUUGUUGCUUCAACAAAUUUGUCACCCUGACCAUUUUUCUUUACGACAGCAUUUCUCCAAAAUUCUUUGAUCAAACUCUGGUAGAUAGCAGGACUUGUUGUUAAGGCAUGAACUAAACAUGAUUUCUUCAAUCCAUCAACAAUGAAUUUCAUGUCUCUGUGGGCUGCAGGAGGGUCUUCAAGAAAAAUUGCAGAAUUGUGAGCUUUAGCAAAUUCCUGAUCUCCCAUUUUAAUCUGAAAGUAAACACAUGAAAAAUUAGGGCAAUAAGAAAAUGUUCAGCUGCACGUUCAUAAAAUCAUGUAAUCGCACAUGGUCAGCCGCACACGGUUGUGUGGCAGCACACGGUCAGCCGCACACGCUUGUGUGGCAACACUCGGUCAGCCGCACACUCAUGUGUGCGGCCGCACACAGCCAACCGCACACGCAUGUGUGCCGCCGCAUAAACAUCUUUAUUAAAAUCAAACAACAAACAACAAACAAUUUUUUGAAAAAUUCAACCGCAUUCAUAAUAAUUACCGAGUACGAUCUUGUUUUUACUGAAACUUGAAGAAAAUUUGAGAGAGAAAAUAUGUGUGUGCGGUUGANAAAAGCCUCACGCACACACACUAUAUAUAUUCAUAGAAUUUACACAUUCUCCCCCUUGUCUUUUAAACAUUUAUUCCAAAACCCCUUUUUGCACACAAUUUUCUUAAAAAGAAUUGUUUUGAGGAUUAAUAUCUUUAAUUUCAAAGUUUUAAUAAAAUAAAAAAAUAAAAUAAAAUAAAAAUAAAAAUAAAAAUAAAAAUAAAAUAAAANNNNNNNNNNNNNNNNNNNNNNNNNNNNNNNNNNNNNNNNNNNNNNNNNNNNNNNNNNNNNNNNNNNNNNNNNNNNNNNNNNNNNNNNNNNNNNNNNNNNGACCCUAACUCGCUGAGUACAACUAGUGACUCGCCGAGUUUCCCGAGAUAACGUCUACUCGUUGAGUCAUCGAGGUGACUCGUCGAGUUCAUACGGUCUUGAUUGAUAAUCUAAGGUCAUUCGCCGAGUUUCCUUGCUUGCCACUCGACACGUCUACGAACAUCCAAUAGUUGGGGGAAUCUUACACGACUCGCCGAGUUGUUCCUUCAACUCGUCGAGUUCUAGGUAAUCUUCAUCUGGCUCGCCGAGUUGUUCAUCCAACUCGUCGAGUUUAUGGAAAUAUUCAUCGGGCUCGCCGAGUUGUUCAUCUAAAUCAUCAAGUUCAUGCAUGCCUUCAUAUGACUCGCCGAGUCACUCCCUGCGACUCGCUGAGUCCUUACAGAUCUCAGAUGUGACAACCCGAAACUCUGUCCGUUUCUGUCACGCGACUUCCGUUAAUAAAGUUACGAAUUCAUUAAUUUUUCCGUCAAAAAUUUUGGUUUAAUAAAACAAUCUAGUUAUAUUUAAUUAAACUAUUAAUGAGUCGGAACCAAAAAUCGCGUGGAAACCCGAAUAUCUCUAGAAAACUACAUUUUUGGUCUAAAAUGGGAUUACGACCGUAAACUAGUUUACUGAAAGAACAUAAUUUGUGGUUUGAGCUAGGCAUCAUUUUGUAUAGUUAAUUAUGUCUUUUUGCAGUAUUUUGUUUAUAGUCGUGUAAUGUGUGCGGCCGCACACAUGUGCUUGGCUGCACACUCUUGUGCUGGUAGGAGGAGUACUAUAAAUAGCAAUUGAGGUGUGUCAGUCUGUAUUUUUUUGGCUAGAAGUCAGUGACGUAUGUGUGUGUUUUUCCCAAGAUGUACCUGACAUUUAUAUGAUAUAAAUGUGUGCAUGCUUGAUUCAAUUUCUUCUUCUUCUAAAUCAAAAUCUAAAUACAAAUCUAAUAGCAAUUAACUUCAUUGAUUACUAAAUUGGAUCCUUAAUUUUGGGGACUUACAUUUACGACCGUAAACCUGUUUACGGUCAGUAGAAAGUGGACCCCUCACCUCACCCCUAUAAAUACGAUGCAUCCACCUUCAUUAGAACAUUUCUGGCCAAAAACUCUCUCUCUCUCUCUCUCUAGACCUCGACUGUAAACACUCAAAACACCUUCAAACUUCGGAGAGCAUCGAGAAAACCACGUUUGGAGUCUUUUGGAAUGUCUGGAAACACUCAUCGCGUCGAAAUCAACAUCCAAACACCAUUCUCCGAGUUUACGGGCCAACCUUCGAAGACCGUAAACUCUGUUCUUGAGUUUACGGCCGUAAACUCGGCAAACUGCAGAAACCGUAAACUCGUGUUCUAAGGCCUUAAACUCACCUUCAGAAUCCGUAAAUUCGUGUUUUAAGGCUGCUAACUUAUUCCUUUGAUUCAAGCAAGUCUCGGUAACAUUCCUCAANNNNNNNNNNNNNNNNNNNNNNNNNNNNNNNNNNNNNNNNNNNNNNNNNNNNNNNNNNNNNNNNNNNNNNNNNNNNNNNNNNNNNNNNNNNNNNNNNNNNUUGAUCCUCGGAACUACCCUUAUAGCCAAAUCUCCAUAUCGUCAAUAGCCGUCAAAAAUGUGAGAGUUACUCAGCCAGUCCGCUGAGCUGAGCAACCAGGAGUUCGUAAACUUAUUAUAUGCGAAGUUUGUGUGUUCAAAUCUUUUCUAUCAUAGCUAAGACCACAUCACGGGGAUGUGGGUCGAAUCACUGAGAGUCCGAUAGCUUAACGGGAAAUCUCAACGCACAGAUAAGCAUUUAGGAUAUAUCUGGGGGCAACCAUUGUUGCUCACAAUCUUCUUUCCUUGAUAUGUAGCAGAUCAUGCCUCCGAAGAAACGUAACCAACCCACCAGUAAGACACCAAUCCUCCAGAUGGACCCAACUACGUUCCAAGCUACCGUCACAGUAGUUGUAGCAGCCGCCUUAGCAGUUCUUAACGCUAACAACACGAAUGUGGGUGAAAGUGUGAAUGGCAAUCCGAAUCUUGGUGUUAACCAAUCUCAACAACAAGUGCCUACUAGAAAGGACACACCUAAUCUCCAACCUAACAUCCUAAAAUGAAAGUUAAACGGGAGUUGUUCAACCGAAAGACCUACUGAGAGGCAACGAAUUGGGAUAGUUAGUACCCCAGUCAGCCCUGCUGUUCCCACAACAACCAUACCCUAUUAUGGAAAUCUCCCGCACUGCAACAAAUGAAACUACCAUCAUCACGGGGUCUGCCGAGUGCUGCAUUGCACCAGAUGCAAUAGGAAGGGACACACCUCCCGCGGUUGUAGAAUCCUAUUCAAGUUCAUCACUCCGACUACCAAUGUUGGGACAAGUCCAACCUGUUACCUCUAUGGAAGUUUAGGACAUUUCAAAAGAGACUGCCCAAUAGAAAAGAACAAUGGGGAAACAGGAGGAGUCUGACCUCAGAGAAUGAGGAAGCAUCAAAGAAUCCUGCUAUAUUUUGGUACGUUUUCGAAAACCCCUAUAAUUGUUCAUAAUUGUGAUUAAUUUCUCGUCCAAAUUCAAUUGUGACAUUCCUAUAAGAUUUAAAAGCCCUAAUGAACAAAUUAUGAUAACUUAGUGAAUACGCUAGGGUCAGUUGUAAUUAUACACGGCUUGUGUACACCAAACGAUCAUAGGGAAAUCUAGUAAGAACCAUUUCAUGAAAGUUCAUAGAUUCAAGACAUCAGAACCCUCGUGUUAGUAGUACCUGUUAAUUUCGAAUCAAACACAACAAACACCAGAGACAUGCACCCGGAGGCAUCAAUGUGAUAACGAAACGAUCUUUGCGGACGAACUUAACGCACGAUCCUACGACGUCGUCCUAUUUAGUCUGAUCGAGUCUAUGUCAUACUAAACCCUUUUGUCUUAAAAUCGUUCGAUCGCAAAACUCCCGUUGCUCGUAACGGAAAAUUAGAUGUGAACCUCGAAAAUUCAUCCCUCUUCGAAGCCCUCUAUGGUCGUAAGUACAGAUUCCAUCUGUGCUGGGCUGAGGUAGGUGACACGCAACUAGUCAAGAGUCAAGCCCCCAGCAACACUUUCGCAAGUCCUGAAAUCAUCUGAAAGACGACUGAGAAGAUCGUGCAAAAGGGGCUAUGCCGAUGAGAGACAAAAACCAUUAGAGUUCCAGAUAGGUGGACGGGUCUCUUGCGGGUCUCACCCCGGAAAGGCCUGAUAUGCUUCGGAAAGCGUAGAAAGCAAAAAUCAAGACAGGUUGGAUCGUCCAAGAUCCUUGCUAGGAUCAGUCCCGUAAGCAUACAAAUGCCAGUUACCCCGAGAACUCAGCGAAGUCCAUCCCUUCUUCUUCAUGUCGAACGAAAAAGAGUGUCCAUCCGAUGAGACACCUGCGAAUUCCCCUCGAAAACCACAAGUUAGAAGAGUGUCUACACUUUGUGUGAGAAUCACCUGAACUCACGGAUCGAGAAGUCAAGCGAACGAAAUAACGUCGCAUCCCGAUAGUGAAGGUCCAGGGGGAUGUUAAACAGGAACUUGGAUUCACUUGGUAGCACGAAGAUCAGAUGAAACAAUAGUAUCCGCAUCUCUUUCCAAAUCCAUGAAUUGUAUUCCAUGUUCGAAUUUUGGCACGAAAUUCCCUCUAACGGGGGGAUGAUGUGACAACCCGAAACUAUGUCCGUUUCUGUCACGUGACUUCCGUUAAUAAAGUUUCGAAUUCAUUAUUUUUUCCAUCAAAAAUUUUGGUUUAAUAAAAUAAUCUAGUUAUAUUUAAUUAAACUAUUAAUGAGUCGGAACCAAAAAUCGCGUGGAAACCCGAAUAUCUCUAGAAAACUACAUUUUUGGUCUAAAAUGGGAUUACGACCGUAAACUAGUUUACUGAAAGAACAUAAUUUGUGGUUUGAGCUAGGCAUCAUUUUGUAUAGUUAAUUAUGUCUUUUUGCAGUAUUUUGUUUAUAGUCGUGUAAUGUGUGCGGCCGCACACAUGUGCUUGGCUGCACACUCUUGUGCUGGUAGGAGGAGUACUAUAAAUAGCAAUUGAGGUGUGUCAGUCUGUAUUUUUUUGGCUAGAAGUCAGUGACGUAUGUGUGUGUUUUUCCCAAGAUGUACCUGACAUUUAUAUGAUAUAAAUGUGUGCAUGCUUGAUUCAAUUUCUUCUUCUUCUAAAUCAAAAUCUAAAUACAAAUCUAAUAGCAAUUAACUUCAUUGAUUACUAAAUUGGAUCCUUAAUUUUGGGGACUUACAUUUACGACCGUAAACCUGUUUACGGUCAGUAGAAAGUGGACCCCUCACCUCACCCCUAUAAAUACGAUGCAUCCACCUUCAUUAGAACAUUUCUGGCCAAAAACUCUCUCUCUCUCUCUCUCUAGACCUCGACUGUAAACACUCAAAACACCUUCAAACUUCGGAGAGCAUCGAGAAAACCACGUUUGGAGUCUUUUGGAACGUCUGGAAACACUCAUCGCGUCGAAAUCAACAUCCAAACACCAUUCUCCGAGUUUACGGGCCAACCUUCGAAGACCGUAAACUCUGUUCUUGAGUUUACGGCCGUAAACUCGGCAAACUACAGAAACCGUAAACUCGUGUUCUAAGGCCUUAAACUCACCUUCAGAAUCCGUAAAUUUGUGUUUUAAGGCUGUUAACUUAUUCCUUUGAUUCAAGCAAGUCUCGGUAACAUUCCUCAANNNNNNNNNNNNNNNNNNNNNNNNNNNNNNNNNNNNNNNNNNNNNNNNNNNNNNNNNNNNNNNNNNNNNNNNNNNNNNNNNNNNNNNNNNNNNNNNNNNNGUUCAUGUAGGAAGCAUAAGCAAGGAAGAUACGAAUGGCUUCCAAUCGAGCAACCGGAGCAUAAAAUUCUGUAUAGUCAAGACCCUCAACCUGUCGAAACCCUCGAACCACCAAUCUUGCCUUGUUGUGCACAAUGACACCUGAAUCGUCUUGUUUAUUUCGAAAUACCCAACGAGUAUCAAGAGAUUUCUUUCCUUUUGGUAGUUCCACCAAUUUCCAGACUCCGAGUUUCUCAAAUUGAUUUAAUUCAUCAUGCAUGGCUUCAACCCAGCUGGGCUCAUUCAGAGCCAUUUCGACAGAUUUAGGUUCUAUUUGAGAUAUGAAGCAAGAGUAAAGACAUGUAUUUACAUCCCCACUUUUACUUCUCGUUUGAACCCCGUCGCCCAACUGGCCAAUGACGUUCUCUAUUGGAUGAUCUCGCUGAAUGCGUGAAGGGAUCUGAUAACUAAUAUCAUUGACCGAAACAGGAAGAUUAUGAAUGUUAACCGCUCCAUCAUUUGUUGUAUGGUCUGUAGAGGAUGAACAAGGUUCGUUAGAAGAAUCCGCUACAAACUCUUCUGCAAUAUUUUCUGGAAAAAGAAGUUCCAUCAAAGUUGAAGUUACAGCGGAAGUCUCGUGAUUCAUGAACUCUUUUUCCAUUGGAGUUAAAGGAGUAGCAAUGGCAUCAGGAGAAGGUUGUUGAGGAGAUUCAGAAGAUUCAAAUUGAGUAGGGGGUAUCCAAGGAGGAUUAGUGGAAAUCAAUGGAGGUCGAUAAACAACUUCAUCUUCUUCGUCUUCACUAGGAAUCUUCGAAUUGGAAGUAGAUCCUUCUUGAUUAUCUGAAGACACAUUGAAUGAUUUGAAAAGAGAUGUGUAGUCAAAAAACCAGUCAGGACCCACUCUAGCAUCUGUCUCAUUCUCUUCAAGCCAACGAACAUCAAAUGAUUCUACAAUCUGUUUAGUCUUCUUAUUGUAAACCCUGUACGCAGUUCGAGCAGCAUAUCCAACAAAAUAAUAGUCAUCGGCUUUGGCAUUGAAUUUGGGAUUUGAUUCCAAGUGGAGAAGGGUACAAGGGCAGCCAAAUACUCGGAAAUGACUGACAGAUGGCUUGUGUCCAAAUAAAAUCUCAUACGUCGUCUUCAUUCUGGCUUUGUUGAUUAGCACAUGAUUUUGAACAUAACACGCAGUGUUAAUCGCCUCUGCCCAGAAGAAUACAGGAAGCUUGGAAUCACAGAGCAUCGUCCUUGCGGCAUCUUUUAGAGUUCGAUUCCGACGUUCAGCAACCCCGUUUUGUUGAGGUGUUCGAACAGAACUGAAUUGACGCACAAUCCCUUUCUCAGCGCAAAAAUGAUCAAGAACAGCGUUCUUGAACUCUGUUCCAUUAUCAGUACGCAGCGCUUUCACUUGAUUGUUAGUCUGAUUUUCGAUCAUCACAAUGAAUCUUUUGAUAAGGUUAGGAAUUUCUGCUUUGUUAGAUAGAAAGAAAACCCAAGUGAAACGGGAGUAAUCAUCUAUCACAACGAGGCAGAAAGAGUUGCGAUUUAUGCUCAAAACAUUAACCGGACCAAAUAAAUCCAUAUGCAAUAACUCGAGCACAUGACUUAUGGAGUUUAUCUGCUUUGAAAAGUCUGGUUUUCGAUGAUGUUUUCCCUGUGCACAUGAAACACAUUUCUCGCAAGCCGAUUCAGGUUCUUUGCAUUCGCAUGACCGAGACGACGAUGCCACAACAUUGCAUUUUGUUAAGAAGCUUUGGAGAAGAGACACGUGACAUUAUCAAGGAAAUUGCUAUUCAUGUCUAUAAUGUAGGCAUUUCCAUCCCGUUUAGAUCUUACAAGAAUCCAAUCGUCAGGGAUAAUAAUGCCAGGUUUUAAGAUCAGACAUUCCUUAUCUGUGAAAUGAUUAGAGUAGCCCUUGUCGCAUAUCUGGGAUACACUUAGCAAGCUAUGCUUCAGUUCUGGAGCAAAGUUAACAUUCUCAAAAUUCAACACUCCAUUGGACACAAUUCCUCUUUGAGUAAUUUUUCCACCCUCUCCGCCCGCAAAAGAAACAUAUCCCCCAUUAAAAGUUUGAAUGUCGUGCAAUUGGAAUAUGUCUCCAGUCAUGUGCCGGGAGCAGCCGCUGUCGACAUACCAAGGUCUGGCGACAUUCCUUCGCAACUGUCCCUGCACGAUGAAUGGAAUUAUUUAGAUUUGGGAACCCAGGUCAUCACAAACCUGGGUUGACUCUUUCCUUUUACAAGUUUUUCAUUUGAUUCUUUCUUUGCUUUUGAAUUGGAGAUUAAUGGAGAUUGAUCUGAAAAAGAUUUUGGAAUCCAUUGAAAGUUAGGUUUCAAAAAUUUGUGAGUUUGCUUUGAACUGGUGGAUCUUCUACUUGAAGAGUUAAAAGAUCCUGUCCUGCUCUUUGACAAAUUCAACUUAGGCUUGGCCUGAGUUGACUUUGGCAAACUUCUGUUGUUUUUGCAAAAAACCUGUUUAUUCUUUUGAAAUCUUUUGAAUUUUUUGUUUAAUGUUGUAUUCAAAUCUCCAUUUCUAGAAUGAGUUUUGGGAAUUUUCCUAGUCAAGGAUCGUCCCCGAAAUUCAUUCUCCCCUCUUUUUGUUGUAUGAGAUACAAACAUCCGGUUCAUGCAGUUUCUUGCAAUGUGUCCAGCAGUGCCACAGUUAAAACAAAUUUGUUUGUUAUCAGAAACUUUGGCACUGCUGUUGUCAGUGUUGUUCUUAGCUUUUCCAUUUCUAACACAAUUACACUUGCAAGAUCCAUCAUAGAAUUUAGUAACAGAUGUGUUAGAUGCAGAGACAUGUAAAUCAGAUUUAGCAGUUUGAUCAGAAACAACACUAUUAGAAUCAUUUUCAGACUGAAAUAAAAUACCACCCGACACAAAAACAUUCGUGUUUGAUUUUGACACAGACUCAUGACUGUAAUUAACACCAGAAUCAAUCACAACAUUAUUUGACUCAAAAGUUUCAGCAACAUGCUCCCCCUGGACUAUUGAUAUAUCUGCACUUGAAGCAAAAACAUUAGUAUGCAAAGUCUCAUAACUAGACUGUAUUUCCUGCUCAGAAGCUGACUUUCCAUACACCAUGCAAGGUUCUUUGUCAAUUUCUUCUUGAGACAGAGGAAUAGCAGUAUAAUUGUGAUUGAAGGGAGGAGGGACACUCUCAUAACCUAAUCCAACUUUUAUUUGAUUACCAUGAGUGAUAUCUCUCCAGUGUGAUUGACCUUCGAUUAAUUUUGCAAUCUUUUCACUUGACACAUCGUAUUUUUUGAAAUUAAAUUCAGCUUUUUCAAAACAAUUUUUCAAUGUGUCAAGUUCCAUGGUUACAGCAGCAAGUUUUCUUUUGAGAUGAUCAUAGUUCUCGCAUUUGUUGCUGUAAUCCUCUUGCAAUUUUUUAAAAUCUUUUGUUUUAUUUUCUAAUUGAGUUUUUAAGGGCUUUUGAUUUUUUCUAAGAGUAUAUCCCUCAUAUUUCAAGUCCUCGUUCUCUCUCUUGAUUAUUUCAAUUUGAUCUCUCAAAAACUUAACAGUUUUAAUACAAGAUUGAGAACAACCGAAUUCACUAACCUCAGAUUUGACUGGUUCAGGAGUGGUCUGAACCAUGAAUGCAAACUGCAAAUUCAUCAUCUCCUCCUCUGGAUCUGCUUCCAUUUCUUUACUUGCAUCCUUGACUUGAGCAAGAUUUGCCUUUUCAGGUUCUGAAAUGUUUAGGGCCUGAACUUGAUCUUCCCAGUUGAACGAUUGAGCUACCAUUGCCAUGUUUGCAGACUGAUUGUUUGAAGAUGAUCCUCUGUUGUUGCUGUGAACGUACGUUACUGGCACCAUGGUUCUUUCGGAGUUUUCUCGCUGAUUUGGUUUUGGACAUUCCCUCGCAAAGUGUCCUGGUUCAUGACAAUUAUAACAACGCAACUUUCCUUUGCUAAAACCCAUCUUUUUGUCUGAAUUUACACCCCAGUUGUUCUUUCCAGUCUUUUUUGAGAAUUGUUUAGCCCUGAAUACUGCCAUUGCCAUUUGCCAAGUAAUAUCCAUCUCUUCCACAUCUUCAGGAUGAAUUUGAUCAAGAUCCGUGAAUGAAAGUUGUGGAGAGAGCUCUCCAGCAACAAAGGCAUUGUAGCAGUUCACCAACCCAGUAGCUAAAGCCAUAUUUUCCUCCUUUUCUUUUGCAAAUGAGCUUUGGGAACCAAUUCCAUGAGAUUGAAUUAAAACAUCUGUGGAAGGACUAACACUAGAACCAGCUUGAGAUAUGGUUUGAGGGAUUUGAGUUUGUUGCAUGUUAGGUAUGAUGUAUGGUAUGUUUUGAUGGACUGUAUGAGGUUGAACUUGAGGAACCUGGAUUUGAGUAUUUUGAAGAGUGGUGAAGCUUGAAAAAGCGGUGUUGUUAUUUUGAAGUCCAAGAUUGGCUGUAGAGUAUGAAUUGACAUGAUUGAUUUCUCUUUGUUUAUCAUCAAGAUCGCAAGCUUUGAUGAUUGCCAUUGUUUCAGACAGGCUUAAACGAUUCAGAUCUUUUGUCUUUUUAAUCACCGAGACAUUCAUGUCCCAUGAUUUUGGAAGAGAAUUUAGUAACUUCUUGUUGAUUUCAGAUCUAGUAACCAUCACUCCUGCGGAGCUCAUUUCAGUGGUUAGUGUGAUAAAUCUUUGCAAUUGAUUUUCCAAUGUUUCUCCCAAUACGUAGUUAAACAUGUUGAAUUUUUGUCGGAGCAUGUCUUGUCGACUUUGCUUCAUGUCUUCAUUUCCUUCAUAAACUUCUAUGAGUGCUUCCCAUAAUGCUUUUGCUGAUGUAUACUCACGAAAUCCUUGUGCUAUUUCCGGAGACAAUGCCAUAGUCAGUGUGGCAAGAGCCUUUUCUUGUUCUUCAACUCGUUCAAAAUCAUCAUCAGUGUAGUUUUCAACUUGUUUGUCAAUUACUGUUCCAUCUUCUAAAGUAGAAGUAAUCCGAAUUGGUCCUCUCAAAAUGCUUCUCCAAAUUUUGAAAUCCUUCAUUUUGAUGUAUUUUUCAAUUCGAUAUUUCCAUUCAGGAAAUCCUUCAGCUGAUAGCAAUCUAGGAAUACGAGUAGUUGUUCCCAUUAUUGCAUCCAAAUCUUGAUGAACAGUCAUGUUUUGAGAUUCCAUUUUAGUAAUUUUAAACUCUUAAACACACACUCCUUAACCGCACACACUUAUCCAGCCGCACACUGAAUUGAGCCGCACACACAAAUCUAACCGCACACUAAACCAACAAUCACUUCAACCGCACACACUUUCAACCGCAAACUCCCUCAACCACACACACGUAUUUUAACAGCAAAUCUUGAAAGUCAGCAGCAAACCUUCAGAUGGCAGCAAACCUUCAACAGUUGGCAGCAAACCUUCAACAGUUGGCAGCAAACACUCAAAAAAACAACUUCAAUUGAUACCAAAUUGGCUCUGAUACCAAUUGUAAGUCCCCAAAAUUAAGGAUCCAAUUUAGUAAUCAAUGAAGUUAAUUGCUACUAGAUUUUGAUUUAGAUUUUGAUUUAGAAGAAGAAGAAAUUGAAUCAAGCAUGCACACAUUUAUAUCAUAUAAAUGUCAGGUACAUCUUGGGAAAAACACACACAUACGUCACUGACUUCUAGCCAAAAAAAUACAGACUGACACACCUCAGUUGCUAUUUAUAGUACUCCUCCUACCAGCACAAGAGUGUGCAGCCAAGCACAUGUGUGCGGCCGCACACAUUACACGACUAUAAACAAAAUACUGCAAAAAGACAUAAUUAACUAUACAAAAUGAUGCCUAGCUCAAACCACAAAUUAUGUUCUUUCAGUAAACUAGUUUACGGUCGUAAUCCCAUUUUAGACCAAAAAUGUAGUUUUCUAGAGAUAUUCGGGUUUCCACGCGAUUUUUGGUUCCGACUCAUUAAUAGUUUAAUUAAAUAUAACUAGAUUGUUUUAUUAAACCAAAAUUUUUGACGGAAAAUAAUGAAUUCGAAACUUUAUUAACGAAAGUCACGUGAUAGAAACGGACAUAGUUUCGGGUUGUCACAUCAUCCCCCCGUUAGAGGGAAUUUCGUGCCAAAAUUCGAACAUGGAAUACAAUUCAUGGAUUUGGAAAGAGAUGCGGAUACUACUGUUUCAUCUGAUCUUCGUGCUACCAAGUGAAUCCAAGUUCCUGUUUAACAUCCCCCCGGACCUUCACUAUCGGGAUGCGACGUUAUUUCGUUCGCUUGACUUCUCGAUCCGUGAGUUCAGGUGAUUCUCACACAAAGUGUAGACUCUCUUCUAACUUGUGGUUUUCGAGGGGAAUUCGCAGGUGUCUCAUCGGAUGGACACUCUUUUUGGUUCGACAUGAAAAAGAAGGGAUGGACUUCUCUGAGUUCUCGGGGUAACUGGCAUUUGUAUGCUUACGGGACUGAUCCUAGCAAGGAUCUUGGACGGUCCAACUUGUCUUGAUUUUUGCUUUCUACGCUUUCCGAAGCAUAUCAGGCCUUUCCGGGGUGAGACCCGCAAGAGACCUGUCCACCAAUCUGGAACUCUAAUGGUUUUUGUCUCUCAUCGGCGUAGCCCCUUUUGCACGAUCUUCUCAGUCGUCUUUCAGAUGAUUUCAGGACUUGCGAAAGUGUUGCUGGGGGCUUGACUCUUGACUAGUUGCGUGUCACCUACCUCAGCCCAGCACAGAUGGAAUCUGUACUUACGACCAUAGAGGGCUUCAAAGAGGGAUGAAUUUUCGAGGUUCACAUCUAAUUUUCCGUUACGAGCAACGGGAUUUUUGCGAUCGAACGAUUUUAAGACAAAAGGGUUUAGUAUGACAUAGACUCGAUCAGACUAAAUAGGACGACGUCGUAGGAUCGCGCGUUAAGUUCGUCCGGAAAGAUCAUUUCGUUAUCACAUUGAUGCCUCCGGGUGCAUGUCUCUGGUGUUUGUUGUGUUUGAUUCGAAAUUAACAGGUACUACUAACACGAGGGUUCUGAUGUCUUGAAUCUAUGAACUUUCAUGAAAUGGUUCUUACUAGAUUCCCUAUGAUCGUUUGGUGUACACAAGCCGUGUAUAAUUACAACUGACCCUAGCGUAUUCACUAAGUUAUCAUAAUUUGUUCAUUAGGGCUUUUAAAUCUUAUAGGAAUGUCACAAUUGAAUUUGGACGAGAAAUUAAUCACAAUUAUGAACAAUUAUAGGGGUUUUCGAAAACGUACCAAAAUAUAGCAGGAUUCUUUGAUGCUUCCUCAUUCUCUGAGGUCAGACUCCUCCUGUUUCCCCAUUGUUCUUUUCUAUUGGGCAGUCUCUUUUGAAAUGUCCUAAACUUCCACAGAGGUAACAGGUUGGACUUGUCCCAACAUUGGUAGUCGGAGUGAUGAACUUGAAUAGGAUUCUACAACCGCGGGAGGUGUGUCCCUUCCUAUUGCAUCUGGUGCAAUGCAGCACUCGGCAGACCCCGUGAUGAUGGUAGUUUCAUUUGUUGCAGUGCGGGAGAUUUCCAUAAUAGGGUAUGGUUGGUGUGGGAACAGCAGGGCUGACUGGGGUACUAACUAUCCCAAUUCGUUGCCUCUCAGUAGGUCUUUGGGUUGAACAACUCCCGUUUAACUUUCAUUUUAGGAUGUUAGGUUGGAGAUUAGGUGUGUCCUUUCUAGUAGGCACUUGUUGUUGAGAUUGGUUAACACCAAGAUUCGGAUUGCCAUUCACACUUUCACCCACAUUCGUGUUGUUAGCGUUAAGAACAGCUAAGGCGGCUGCUACAGCUACUGUGACGGUAGCUUGGAACGUAGCUGGGUCCAUCUGGAGGAUUGGUGUCUUACUGGUGGGUUGGUUACGUUUCUUCGGAGGCAUGAUCUGCUACAUAUCAAGGAAAGAAGAUUGUGAGCAACAAUGGUUGCCCCCAGAUAUAUCCUAAAUGCUUAUCUGUGCGUUGAGAUUUCCCGUUAAGCUAUCGGACUCUCAGUGAUUCGACCCACAUCCCCGUGAUGUGGUCUUAGCUAUGAUAGAAAAGAUUUGAACACACAAACUUCGCAUAUAAUAAGUUUACGAACUCCUGGUUGCUCAGCUCAGCGGACUGGCUGAGUAACUCUCACAUUUUUGACGGCUAUUGACGAUAUGGAGAUUUGGCUAUAAGGGUAGUUCCGAGGAUCAAGUCGAUACAGGAUUCAACUUGGCACUCGGAAAAAAUCCCUGGAAUGUCUUCAGGGAAGCCAUCAGGAAAGUUGCAGACUUCGAAGAUGCUCUCGAGGUCGUUAACUUCUUGUGUCUCAUUGUCAACAUGAGCCAGGAAUGCAUAGCAUUCCUUCCGUAGAUGCUCCUAGACUUGACGCAGGAAAUGAUACGAAGGUUCGAAAAAUCUUAUCACUGAGACCAAAGAGAGUUUCGUUGAAGGGACGAAUUGCUUUCCCCGAAGCAAGGGAUAUCAGCAUGAUUUGAGGUUUAACCAUUUCGUGCCAAUUAGGAUAUCAAAGCUGACACGAAAUUGAUGGGGAAAGGAAUAAUCGUCUAAGUACAUCUUAUGGUUCACGUUUUGAGGAUAAAACAGUGAUGGGACCUUGAUAAAGUUGCUUACUUUUCAUGCUAUCAAUCUAAGGUACACUUUUGACAAUGAAAAUCUUUAACUGAAAUAUGAUAGUUGCCACCAUUAUCGAUAUCAAGAUUACACAUUGUUUGAAGAAUUUGACCUAGGGGUAGGUCUACCACAUACCAACAGAGGAACAAUUUGACAACAUAAAGAACUAGCAAAUCGGUACAUGCAAGGCAAGAAUGUCUACAGAGAAAGGAGCUACUUGGAACAUAAAUAGGGAAGCUAUUCUUUAGACCAAAAGGAAAGACAAGUAGAAUAUUU
Molecule: long non-coding RNA, 20875 nt
Filed under: Lactuca sativa (garden lettuce)
Lineage: Eukaryota; Viridiplantae; Streptophyta; Magnoliopsida; Asterales; Asteraceae
Description: long non-coding RNA (LSAT_LNC000976)
Source: RNAcentral